Molecule: ribosomal RNA, 492 nt
Filed under: uncultured bacterium
Lineage: Bacteria
Description: partial 16S ribosomal RNA
Rfam family: Bacterial small subunit ribosomal RNA
Source: RNAcentral
AGUGAACGCUGGCGGCAUGCCUAACACAUGCAAGUCGGACGGCAGCACAGUGAAGCUUGCCUCUUACGUGGGGCGAGUGGCGGGCGAGUGAGAAAUACAUCAGCAUCUACUUUUUCGGGGGGUAUAUCGUAGGGAAACUUACGCUAAUAGCGCAUAUGACGUGCGGGUGAGAGCAGGGGAUCUUGGGACUUUGCUCUUUUGAAUGAGGCGAUGUCGGAUGAGCUAGGGUGCGGUGUAAAGGCCUACCAAGGCAACGAUCAGUAGCGGAUCUGAGAGGAUGAGCGGCCACACUGGGACUGAGACACGGCCCAGACUCCUACGGGAGGCAGCAGUGGGGAAUUUUGGACAAUGGGCGCAAGCCUGAUCCAGCCAUGCCGCGUGACUGAAGAAGGCCUUCGGGUUGUAAAGGACUUUUGUCAGGGAAGAAAAGGGCGGGGUUAAUACCCCUGUCUGAUGACGGUACCUGAAGAAUAAGCACCGGCUAACUACGUG